GACAGAGGGUGCAAGCGUUGUUCGGAAUUAUUGGGCGUAAAGGGCGCGUAGGCGGUUUAGUAAGUCAGAUGUGAAAGCCCAGGGCUCAACCUUGGAAGUGCAUCUGAGACUGCUGAACUAGAGUAUCGGAGAGGGUGGUGGAAUUCCCAGUGUAGAGGUGAAAUUCGUAGAUAUUGGGAGGAACACCGGUGGCGAAGGCGACCACCUGGACGAAUACUGACGCUGAGGCGCGAAAGCGUGGGGAGCAAACAGG
This 253-nucleotide ribosomal RNA is filed under the name uncultured bacterium. RNAcentral describes it as "partial 16S ribosomal RNA". It matches the Rfam family "Bacterial small subunit ribosomal RNA", at positions 524 to 776 of the family's 1533-position model. The record is from RNAcentral.